Molecule: ribosomal RNA, 465 nt
Filed under: Vreelandella stevensii
Lineage: Bacteria; Pseudomonadati; Pseudomonadota; Gammaproteobacteria; Oceanospirillales; Halomonadaceae
Description: partial 16S ribosomal RNA
Rfam family: Bacterial small subunit ribosomal RNA
Source: RNAcentral
CCUACGGGGGGCAGCAGUGGGGAAUAUUGGACAAUGGGGGCAACCCUGAUCCAGCCAUGCCGCGUGUGUGAAGAAGGCCCUCGGGUUGUAAAGCACUUUCAGUGAGGAAGAACGCCUGGUGGUUAAUACCCAUCAGGAAAGACAUCACUCACAGAAGAAGCACCGGCUAACUCCGUGCCAGCAGCCGCGGUAAUACGGAGGGUGCGAGCGUUAAUCGGAAUUACUGGGCGUAAAGCGCGCGUAGGUGGCUUGAUAAGCCGGUUGUGAAAGCCCCGGGCUCAACCUGGGAACGGCAUCCGGAACUGUCAAGCUAGAGUGCAGGAGAGGAAGGUAGAAUUCCCGGUGUAGCGGUGAAAUGCGUAGAGAUCGGGAGGAAUACCAGUGGCGAACGCGGCCUUCUGGACUGACACUGACACUGAGGUGCGAAAGCGUGGGUAGCAAACAGGAUUAGAUACCCCGGUAGUC